This 253-nucleotide ribosomal RNA is filed under the name uncultured bacterium. RNAcentral's name for it is "partial 16S ribosomal RNA". It matches the Rfam family "Bacterial small subunit ribosomal RNA", at positions 524 to 776 of the family's 1533-position model. The record is from RNAcentral.
UACGGAGGGUGCAAGCGUUGUUCGGAAUCACUGGGCGUAAAGCGCGUGUAGGCGGCUAUCUAAGUCUGAUGUGAAAGCCCUGGGCUCAACUCAGGAAGUGCAUUGGAUACUGGAUAGCUGGAGUACCGGAGAGGAGGGUGGAAUUCCUGGUGUAGCGGUGAAAUGCGUAGAUAUCAGGAGGAACACCGGUGGCGAAGGCGUCCCUCUGGCCGGAUACUGACGCUGAGACGCGAAAGCGUGGGGAGCGAACGGG